UGAGGAAUAUUGGUCAAUGGGCGGAAGCCUGAACCAGCCAAGUAGCGUGAAGGAUGACUGCCCUAUGGGUUGUAAACUUCUUUUACAAGGGAAUAAUUGUGGGUACGCGUACCCAUUUGCAUGUACCUUAUGAAUAAGGAUCGGCUAACUCCGUGCCAGCAGCCGCGGUAAUACGGAGGAUCCGAGCGUUAUCCGGAUUUAUUGGGUUUAAAGGGAGCGUAGGCGGGCGCUUAAGUCAGCUGUGAAAGUUUGGGGCUCAACCUUAAAAUUGCAGUUGAUACUGGGUGCCUUGAGUGCAGUAUAGGCAGGCGGAAUUCGUGGUGUAGCGGUGAAAUGCUUAGAUAUCACGAAGAACUCCUAUUGCGAAGGCAGCUUGCUGGAGUGUAACUGACGCUGAUGCUCGAAAGUGUGGGUAUCAAACAGGAUUAGAUACCCUGGUAGUCCACACAGUAAACGAUGAAUACUCGCUGUUUGCGAUAUACUGCAAGCGGCCAAGCGAAAGCGUUAAGUAUUCCACCUGGGGAGUACGCCGGCAACGGUG
This 541-nucleotide ribosomal RNA is filed under the name uncultured bacterium. RNAcentral describes it as "bacterial SSU rRNA". It matches the Rfam family "Bacterial small subunit ribosomal RNA", at positions 355 to 896 of the family's 1533-position model. The record is from RNAcentral.